RNAcentral lists this ribosomal RNA (435 nucleotides) under uncultured bacterium. RNAcentral describes it as "bacterial SSU rRNA". It matches the Rfam family "Bacterial small subunit ribosomal RNA", at positions 954 to 1391 of the family's 1533-position model. The record is from RNAcentral.
GCAGAACGCGAAGAACCUUACCAGGGCUUAAAUGCAGUCCGACAGGAUUGGAAACAGUCCUUUCUUCGGACGGAUUGCAAGGUGCUGCAUGGUUGUCGUCAGCUCGUGCCGUGAGGUGUCAGGUUAAGCCCUAUAACGAGCGCAACCCCUGCCGUUAGUUGCCAGCGAGUAAAGUCGGGAACUCUAGCGGGACUGCCGGUGCAAACCGUGAGGAAGGUGGGGAUGACGUCAAAUCAUCACGGCCCUUACGUCCUGGGCCACACACGUGCUACAAUGGCAGGUACAAUGGGCAGCCACUGCGCAAGCAGGCGCGAAUCCACAAAACCUGUCUCAGUUCGGAUCGGGGUCUGCAACUCGACCCCGUGAAGCUGGAAUCGCUAGUAAUCGGAUAUCAGCCAUGAUCCGGUGAAUACGUUCCCGGGUCUUGUACACACG